AUAUUGGUCAAUGGACGAGAGUCUGAACCAGCCAAGUCGCGUGAGGGAAGACUGCCCUAUGGGUUGUAAACCUCUUUUAUAAGGGAAGAAUAAGUUCUACGUGUAGAAUGAUGCCUGUACCUUAUGAAUAAGCAUCGGCUAACUCCGUGCCAGCAGCCGCGGUAAUACGGAGGAUGCGAGCGUUAUCCGGAUUUAUUGGGUUUAAAGGGUGCGUAGGCGGUUUAUUAAGUUAGUGGUUAAAUAUUUGAGCUAAACUCAAUUGUGCCAUUAAUACUGGUAAACUGGAGUACAGACGAGGUAGGCGGAAUAAGUUAAGUAGCGGUGAAAUGCAUAGAUAUAACUUAGAACUCCGAUAGCGAAGGCAGCUUACCAGACUGUAACUGACGCUGAUGCACGAGAGCGUGGGUAGCGAACAGGAUUAGAUACCCUGGUAGUCCACGCCGUAAACGAUGCUCACUGGUUCUGUGCGAUAUAUUGUACGGGAUUAAGCGAAAGUAUUAAGUGAGCCACCUGGGGAGUACGUCGGCAACGAUGAAACUCAAAGGAAUUGACGGGGGCCCGCACAAGCGGAGGAACAUGUGGUUUAAUUCGAUGAUACGCGAGGAACCUUACCUGGGUUUAAAUGGGAAAUGCCGUAUUUGGAAACAGAUAUUCUCUUCGGAGCGUUUUUCAAGGUGCUGCAUGGUUGUCGUCAGCUCGUGCCGUGAGGUGUCGGGUUAAGUCCCAUAACGAGCGCAACCCUUACCGUUAGUUGCUAGCAUGUAAUGAUGAGCACUCUAACGGGACUGCCACCGUAAGGUGAGAGGAAGGCGGGGAUGACGUCAAAUCAGCACGGCCCUUACACCCAGGGCUACACACGUGUUACAAUGGCCGGUACAGAGGGCCGCUACCAGGUGACUGGAUGCCAAUCUCAAAAGCCGGUCGUAGUUCGGAUUGGAGUCUGUAACCCGACUCCAUGAAGUUGGAUUCGCUAGUAAUCGCGCAUCAGCCAUGGCGCGGUGAAUACGUUCCCGGGCCUUGUACACACCGCCCGUCAAGCCAUGGAAGCCGGGGGUGCCUGAAGUCCGUAACCGCGAGGAUCGGCCUAGGGCAAAACUGGUAACUGGGGCUAAGUCGUAACAAGGUAGCCGUACCGGAAGGUGCGGCUG
RNAcentral lists this ribosomal RNA (1148 nucleotides) under human gut metagenome. Its description in RNAcentral is "bacterial SSU rRNA". It matches the Rfam family "Bacterial small subunit ribosomal RNA", at positions 361 to 1520 of the family's 1533-position model. The record is from RNAcentral.